Candoia aspera is the source of this 1131-nucleotide long non-coding RNA. RefSeq lists it as uncharacterized. NCBI's taxonomy places the organism in Eukaryota, Metazoa, Chordata, Lepidosauria, Squamata, Candoiidae. The transcript has 2 exons. The record is from RefSeq and is a predicted model, not a curated record.
UUCACACGUUACAAAACCAUAUUUAAUAGGAUAAUGACUAUAUGCUAUAUAGAGAAUGAAGUUACCUUUAACUGUCUAGAAAACUCAAGGAAAGGCAAUCAGAUUGUUUGAAGAUGCUCUUCCCUCCGUUUAGAAAAGAACUAAGAACAGAUGCUUCCAGAGUAGUAAAAUAAGAUUUUCCAAAUUGACCUUUCAUGAUUUCAUGAAUACACCCAUGUAGUUUUUCCUUGGCAACCAUGUGGAAGUUGCUUCUUGUUGCCUUUUUUCAGGUUUGUUUUUUUUCAAUUUCCCACAGAAGUCUACAGUUCUAGAGUUUUUCUAGUGGUCUCCCACCCAGUACUAAACUGGCUUAGCUUUCUAAGAUCAGCUGAGGUCUCUUAUCAGUGCAGGCAACUUACCUAUUAAACAUCCGCAGCUGAAGGUUUGCUAUAGAUUUAUCCUUCCAGUGUUGCAUAAUAAUUUUUUGGCUACUUCCCCAUUCGUGGAGUCUCCAUAAAUCUCCAAGGUUAUAUUCACACAUUGUGCUAAGCAAGGGUUUUUGUAACCAUGGUUUAUUGAACAAACCAUAGUGGCUGGGUUCAGACAACUCACUAAGCUUAAACAAUCCCUAUUAUGGCUUGGCAUAAUGUGCAAAUCCAACAGAAAUUUUUGGAAGCAUCCUUGCAGGACUGGUGAAUACUUCAUGCUUAAAAGGAAUCAACAGGCCAAGCUAUGAAAAGCUGGAUUUUGCAAUCUAUAGAUGGGGAAAGUUGAUGAAACGGGUGUAGGGGUAGAGAUAUAUCAAGUACAGAGUCUUAAGCCUUGCCCAUUGGAAAGCCAAUUACAGCUUUUUGGAUGUUCCUGGAUGUUGCCCAUACACUUUCAAGAAUCAAUCAUCUCGAGGGCUAGAAAAAAUCUUUAAAACUGAACUGAACUGGGAAUUGAAAUUUUCUGGAUUGCUGUAUUGUAUAUUCAGUAGUGAAAGGGCAACCUGCAUUGAAUCUCACCAUGCUGGAAUUGCUGCCACAAGUGGCAAUGGGGGAUUUUUCUCCUUGAGAUGACAAAAACUUUGAUCCCAUGGACCCUAACUAGUUUUUUUUCCCCCAUUUAAUUUUGUUCUUAAAAAAAUAAAUAAAAACAACCAUAAUACUG